Molecule: ribosomal RNA, 468 nt
Filed under: uncultured bacterium
Lineage: Bacteria
Description: partial 16S ribosomal RNA
Rfam family: Bacterial small subunit ribosomal RNA
Source: RNAcentral
GACGAACGCUGGCGGCGUGCUUAACACAUGCAAGUCGAACGGAAAGGCCCUGCUUUUGUGGGGUGCUCGAGUGGCGAACGGGUGAGUAACACGUGAGUAACCUGCCCUUGACUUUGGGAUAACUUCAGGAAACUGGGGCUAAUACCGGAUAGGAGCUCCUGCUGCAUGGUGGGGGUUGGAAAGUUUCGGCGGUUGGGGAUGGACUCGCGGCUUAUCAGCUUGUUGGUGGGGUAGUGGCUUACCAAGGCUUUGACGGGUAGCCGGCCUGAGAGGGUGACCGGCCAAAAUGGGAACGGGGAACGGCCCCAGCCCCCUAGGGGAGGCAGCGUGGGGGAUAUUGCACAAUGGGCGGAAGCCUGAUGCAGCAACGCCGCGUGCGGGAUGACGGCCUUCGGGUUGUAAACCGCUUUCGCCUGUGACGAAGCGUGAGUGACGGUAAUGGGUAAAGAAGCACCGGCUAACUACGUG